This 179-nucleotide ribosomal RNA is filed under the name uncultured Flavobacterium sp. Its description in RNAcentral is "16S ribosomal RNA". It matches the Rfam family "Bacterial small subunit ribosomal RNA", at positions 337 to 513 of the family's 1533-position model. Lineage: Bacteria; Pseudomonadati; Bacteroidota; Flavobacteriia; Flavobacteriales; Flavobacteriaceae. The record is from RNAcentral.
UCCUACGGGAGGCAGCAGUGAGGAAUAUUGGACAAUGGGCGCAAGCCUGAUCCAGCCAUGCCGCGUGCAGGAUGACGGUCCUAUGGAUUGUAAACUGCUUUUGCACAGGAAGAAACACCCCCUCGUGAGGGGGCUUGACGGUACUGUGAGAAUAAGGAUCGGCUAACUCCGUGCCAGCA